This 396-nucleotide ribosomal RNA is filed under the name uncultured organism. RNAcentral describes it as "partial 16S ribosomal RNA". It matches the Rfam family "Bacterial small subunit ribosomal RNA", at positions 994 to 1395 of the family's 1533-position model. The record is from RNAcentral.
UGWKASCUUCAGAGAGUAUWSGUGCCUUCGGGACUGUGAGACAGGUGCUGCAUGGUGUCGUCAGCUCGYGUUGUGAAAUGUUGGGUUAAGUCCCGCAACGAGCGCAACCCUUAUCCUUUGUUGCCAGCGUYCGGSCGGGAACUCAAAGGAGACUGCCAGUGAUAAACUGGAGGAAGGGGGGGAUGACGUCAAGUCWCCMUGGCCCUUACGACCAGGGCUACACACGUGCUACAAUGGCGCAUACAAAGAGAAGCGACCUCGCGAGAGCAAGCSGACCUCAUAAAGWGCGUCGUAGUCCGGAUUGGAGUCUGCAACUCGACUCCAUGAAGWCGGAAUCGCUAGUAAUCRUGGAUMARAUGCCACGGUGAAUACKUUCCGGGKCUGUWCACACCGAAG